GGGUUGUGAGUAGUUCACCACCCGGACUCCUUUCAAAAGAUAGUGAAGGCCGUUCUCGCUUAGUUAUUUGUCUUUUGUUUAUUUCUUUAAUUUUCAUUUGUUCUUUUAGAAGGAAUAUUUCUGUAGCCCUAUUGGGCAUUCUAAAUUAUUGUGUAAGGAAUGUAAACCCUAAACUUUAUUAUUUCGCUUUUGUAUUUAAUUUU
Molecule: long non-coding RNA, 203 nt
Filed under: Carica papaya (papaya)
Lineage: Eukaryota; Viridiplantae; Streptophyta; Magnoliopsida; Brassicales; Caricaceae
Description: long non-coding RNA (CPAP_LNC007306)
Source: RNAcentral